RNAcentral lists this ribosomal RNA (467 nucleotides) under uncultured bacterium. Its description in RNAcentral is "partial 16S ribosomal RNA". It matches the Rfam family "Bacterial small subunit ribosomal RNA", at positions 29 to 507 of the family's 1533-position model. The record is from RNAcentral.
ACGAACGCUGGCGGCGUGCUUAACACAUGCAAGUCGAACGGAAAGGCCCUGCUUUUGUGGGGUGCUCGAGUGGCGAACGGGUGAGUAACACGUGAGUAACCUGCCCUUGACUUUGGGAUAACUUCAGGAAACUGGGGCUAAUACCGGAUAGGAGCUCCUGCUGCAUGGUGGGGGUUGGAAAGUUUCGGCGGUUGGGGCUGGACUCGCGGCUUAUCAGCUUGUUGGUGGGGUAGUGGCUUACCAAGGCUUUGACGGGUAGCCGGCCUGAGAGGGUGACCGGCCACAUUGGGCCUGAGAUACGGCCCAGACUCCUACGGGAGGCAGCAGUGGGGAAUAUUGCACAAUGGGCGGAAGCCUGAUGCAGCAACGCCGCGUGCGGGAUGACGGCCUUCGGGUUGUAAACCGCUUUCGCCUGUGACGAAGCGUGAGUGACGGUAAUGGGUAAAGAAGCACCGGCUAACUACGUG